GAUGAACGCUAGCGAUAGGCUUAACACAUGCAAGUCGAGGGGCAGCACAAGGGUAGCAAUACUCUGGUGGCGACCGGCGUACGGGUGCGUAACACGUAUGCAACCUUCCUGUAAGUGUGGGAUAGCCUCCUGAAAGGGAGAUUAAUACCUCAUGAUAUGUAUUUGCUGCAUGGCAUUUACAUUAAACAUUUAUGGCUUACAGAUGGGCAUGCGUUCCAUUAGGCAGUUGGUGUGGUAACGGCUCACCAAACCUACGAUGGAUAGGGGUUCUGAGAGGAAGGUCCCCCACACUGGAACUGAGACACGGUCCAGACUCCUACGGGAGGCAGCAGUGAGGAAUAUUGGUCAAUGGGCGCGAGCCUGAACCAGCCACGUCGCGUGAAGGAUGACGGCCUUAUGGGUUGUAAACUUCUUUUACUAGGGGAAUAAAGUGAGUCACGUGUGAUUUUUGUCAUGUACCCUGUGAAUAAGCAUCGGCUAACUCCGUG
This 488-nucleotide ribosomal RNA is filed under the name uncultured bacterium. RNAcentral's name for it is "bacterial SSU rRNA". It matches the Rfam family "Bacterial small subunit ribosomal RNA", at positions 28 to 507 of the family's 1533-position model. The record is from RNAcentral.